This 258-nucleotide long non-coding RNA is filed under the name Capra hircus (goat). RNAcentral describes it as "lncRNA (ENSCHIG00000006978.1)". Lineage: Eukaryota; Metazoa; Chordata; Mammalia; Artiodactyla; Bovidae. The record is from RNAcentral.
CAUACCUGCAAAUGAUCUUGGAGAAUACGUCUCAGAAGGGAUUUGUCAUCUGGAAGGAACAAGUUUGGAGUCCUGACAAAAUUUUAUUUCUUAUGGAGAUGCUGUCAACUGUAGGCUGCUCCUUAACUUCAUACCAUGUAGGAUGAAAUGCAGAACGAAAUGGAAGAUGUCAAACUAUGAAAAGUUAUGUCUUAGAAGUAAUAAAAGAACACACUAAAAGCGUAAGUUUUCUUUGGAGUUUUCUUCUUGGGCAGUGUU